Molecule: ribosomal RNA, 502 nt
Filed under: uncultured bacterium
Lineage: Bacteria
Description: bacterial SSU rRNA
Rfam family: Bacterial small subunit ribosomal RNA
Source: RNAcentral
GACGAACGCUGGCGGCGUGGAUUAGGCAUGCAAGUCGGACGGUAGGGCUUUAUCGUAAGAUAGAGUUUGAGAGUGGCGAACGGGUGAGUAACACGUAGGAAUCUACCCUUAAGACGGGGACAACCCAGGGAAACUUGGGCUAAUACCGGAUGAGAGUGCGAGAGAUUGCAUUUAAAAGGAUGGCGAAAGUUGUCGCUUAGGGAUGAGCCUGCGGUCUAUUAGUUAGCUGGUGAGGUAAGAGCUCACCAAGGCGAUGAUAGAUAGGCGGCCUUAACGGGUGGUCGCCCACACUGGGAUUGAGAUACGGCCCAGACUCCUACGGGAGGCGGCAGUCGAGAAUAGUCUACAAUGGCCGGAAGGCUGAUAGUGCGACGCCGCGUGAACGAGGGAGCCCUUCGGGUGUAAAGUUCUUUUCUAUACGAGCAGUGCUAUAUAUAUGGAUAGUAUAUAUAGAGGGAUAGUAGUAUAGGAAUAAGCAACGGCUAACUCCGUGCCAGCAGCC